Molecule: long non-coding RNA, 1500 nt
Filed under: Monodelphis domestica (gray short-tailed opossum)
Lineage: Eukaryota; Metazoa; Chordata; Mammalia; Didelphimorphia; Didelphidae
Description: lncRNA (ENSMODG00000033683.2)
Source: RNAcentral
UGACCUGCGUGGUAUGGAUCUCAGGACUGGAAAAGCCUACAGAAUUGGUCCUUUGAUCAGAGCUUAGCUGUGGCUCAUUGAUAAUUAAUAAAGACUCAUCCUGAACACCUCAUAUCUCUAUUAGGACUCCGUCACUUCCCUCGUGGUAUCAAAACUUCUAUCCUGUCUCUAUCUUCCUACCUUGUGGCUUCUCUCACCUCAGAGAGAACCUACAGAUGGCGCCCAACUUUCUCGUGGCAUUCCACUCUUUUAUUUCACACAGCGAAUGGGAGAACGCGUUCGAGGACACGAGGCUAAAGAGCGUAGGCAGGUGCCGGAGUUCCAGGAAGGUUGCCGUACCUCUGGCCAAGGACGAUAAUGAAAACAUCUGGUCUCCCACGUCAUGCUUCAUGCCAGCUGAUACAGACCAGGAAGAGAAGCAGACGGAAGGUGAUGGCAUCAGCUACCUACAUGCCAGCCACAAUCCAGACUCGCUGGAAGGACACUUCUUUGGUGACUAAUAUCACUCUAGAACAAUGACAUUACACUAUUAGAGACAUUGGCUAUUAGGCCACUGACGGACACUUGUCAUGCUGACAUCCAUUGAGAUGGGGUACCCAGAGCAACAUCAAGUAUGCUAACUCAGAAGGACUAAAUCACACUUGUGUCUGUGCAAGACACCAGAUACAUCCCACAUUCCAAAGACUUUGCGAUGGGAUUGAGAUGAAAUAGCUACAAAUUGUCUAGCUACUAAAGUAUACCUUGUAUUUUGUAUAUGAUACUGUCAAAAGAAAUGUAUAUUGUAUGCAUUGUAAAGCUACCACUUGUAUUGUAAGAAAUGCUGUUAUCAACAAGGGUAUAGACCUUGGUAGGACUCUCCAAAGAGUAGGAGAUAGAAAACUCUCAUCCAUAGGAUAGAUCUGAUAUUUCUGACAUCAAAAAUGAGGUGCUAAGCAGAAAAUGCUGCACAGACAGGUUUAAUGGACAGAUGACACUGAUGUUACUCUCAAGAAAGAAUGAGAGAUCAAGAAAAAGACAUUAGGAAAUCUUUAAUCAGGAACCUGAGUUAUUGUAAGAGAUCAUUGACAUCCAGGCAAAGAUUAUGUUCCUGACAUUACAUUAAGGGCUGACUACCAUAGCAGUAGUUGAGUGUUAAUACCAUUGCUAACCAUUACUCCUGAUACCCUGUCUUUGUGGGUAAUAUCUUAAUAGGAAAAAUGUCUUGCUCUCCUCCAACAGUCCCAGAAUUCAGAUGGCCGCUGGAUUCGGGAUCUAUUGGCUUCCCUUUCAUAUACUGGAAGACGUUCUGGUAUAUGGAAGUAAGACCUCAUGAAAAACUGAGGGCUCUAGGUUUGACAAUUUCUGUGGACGCGCAGUCAUUGUCUCUCCUAGGUGGAAAAAAUUAUUAUUGCACAAAAACAUUGAGCAAGGGCAAAGUAUAAUCUAAGUUUUACUGUUUUGGAGUAUGGAUUGAAAACAUGACACAAUAGGCACAGAUAAGCUUGCAGAAAAAGCACAUUG